Dicentrarchus labrax (European seabass) is the source of this 687-nucleotide long non-coding RNA. RefSeq lists it as uncharacterized. The transcript has 3 exons. Lineage: Eukaryota; Metazoa; Chordata; Actinopteri; Moronidae. The record is from RefSeq and is a predicted model, not a curated record.
UUUAUAAAAUAGUGUUAAAGUUACUUUAUUUCUUGAAUUAAAAACGCUGAGGGUGUUUAUGAGUCUGGACUCUGCUAAGAGGACGAAGAAGACAAGUGCCUCGUGUGGACUGUUGCUAGGACGAGCAUUAGUCGUUGCUAUGGAGGAGCACAACUUUCAUCAGCUGCCAGUGGACAGAGGUUUUGAACUAAACAAACAACGUUUCUAUCCAGUUAGAGUCCUCCCUGUGAGACUCUGAUUUGUCCAGUUGAGAGGAAGACAACAUCUGGUGUGGUCAGAGGUUCAGAGGUUUUCUUUCCUCUGUACCAGAAGUAUUUCCAACCAGAUGAUGAUGGGUUCACAGAGCAGUUUGUUGAAUUGCAGGUUGUGGCUGGUGAUUGGACGGGAGAACAAAUGUGGUUACUUUAAAAUGGAACUUGCUGAUGCUGGCUUCAUUCUCUCUUUUCCCUGACUCUCAAUCAAACUGUGCUGUGCCAAAAUGUGUCGUGCUACCAAGUGUCUAAUCUCUGAAGUAUCUUGUAAAAGAGCAGACCUUACAGCUCUUUGGGUAAGAAAACCUUUUUGUUAAUUUAUUUUCACCUGUUUAUGUUAAGGAGGAAGUACGAUGCCUGUGUUUUCUUUUGUUUUCUUUUAGAUAAGUAUCAUAAAAUGAUAUAUGGUUCUGUUAACUGUUUUAGCCAUGCUCUC